GCAUUUCUGAGGUGUCCCAUAAUAGGACGAAACGACCGUCCAGUGC
Molecule: non-coding RNA, 46 nt
Organism: Schistosoma rodhaini
Lineage: Eukaryota; Metazoa; Platyhelminthes; Trematoda; Strigeidida; Schistosomatidae
Source: Rfam